RNAcentral lists this long non-coding RNA (579 nucleotides) under Linum usitatissimum (flax). Its description in RNAcentral is "long non-coding RNA (LUSI_LNC003561)". Lineage: Eukaryota; Viridiplantae; Streptophyta; Magnoliopsida; Malpighiales; Linaceae. The record is from RNAcentral.
UCAGAACCCCCACAUCAUCAUUUUACAGACACAGAAACCAUCAGUGAGAAGAAGAAGAAGAAGAAGAAGAAGAAACAAGGACAAAGAUGGCGAAAUUCUCUUGUCUCCAUGUUUUCACCAUCGCACUAUUCUUCACAGGUUGAUUGAAUCUAUCAGCAGCAUCAUCAUCAGAUUUUUGUAUUUGUAAUUCUUUUGACCAUUUCUUAACUGAUCUGUGUUCUUUUUGCGAUUCUUUUCUGAGUUGCAGGAAUGAUACUUGUUCCAGAAGUCAGUGGAUCUUCAUCUUGCAAUGAAACAUUGGGUGCGGUGGAAGACUGCCCGUUGGCUUGCGAUGCAAAAUGUUCGGGGAAACACCCCAACUAUACAGAAUACGAAUGCCUUCCCGAAGAUUUUGGUUCGGAUUUGUCUAAUUGUAUUUGUUUUUGGGACUGUUGAUGUAAUUCUCUCCCAAUGAUACAUGUUUUUAUCUUCUAAAUAUUCAUGAAUGAUAUUAAACCGACCCGAAAUUUCAACAUCAUAGAAUAAAGGGAACCAGUUCCAUUGUCAGAAUCUACAUUGGGUUUAGAUACAAGGAUGCCC